Molecule: regulatory RNA element, 130 nt
Organism: Isoptericola variabilis 225
Lineage: Bacteria; Bacillati; Actinomycetota; Actinomycetes; Micrococcales; Promicromonosporaceae
Rfam family: FMN riboswitch aptamer (RFN element)
About the family: The RFN element is a highly conserved domain that is found frequently in the 5'-untranslated regions of prokaryotic mRNAs that encode for flavin mononucleotide (FMN) biosynthesis and transport proteins. This element is a metabolite-dependent riboswitch that directly binds FMN in the absence of proteins. In Bacillus subtilis, the riboswitch most likely controls gene expression by causing premature transcription termination within the 5' untranslated region of the ribDEAHT operon and precluding access to the ribosome-binding site of ypaA mRNA.
Source: Rfam
UCGCGUGCUCUGGGGUCGGUGAAACUCCGAACCGGCGGUGAAAGUCCGCGACCCGGUCACAUCCAGUGCCCGGUUGACCAGGUGGAACUCCUGGACCGACGGUCAAAGUCCGGAUGGGAAGCGCACGCGA